GUUUGAUCCUGGCUCAGAACGAACGCUGGCGGCGUGGAUAAGACAUGCAAGUCGAACGGGAUAUUUUUGUAGCAAUACCGGAAUAUUCAGUGGCGAACGGGUGCGUAACACGUGGGUAACAUGCCGGGAAGAGGAGAAUAGCCCAGGGAAACUUGGAUUAAUGCUCCAUGUGGUCGCAAGACUAAAGACGGGGUAACCUGUCGCUUCCUGAUUGGCCCGCGGCCUAUCAGCUAGUUGGCGAGGUAACGGCUCACCAAGGCAACGACGGGUAGCUGGUCUGAGAGGAUGACCAGCCACACUGGAACUGAGACACGGUCCAGACACCUACGGGUGGCAGCAGUCGAGAAUCUUUCACAAUGGGGGCAACCCUGAUGGAGCGACGCCGCGUGGAGGAUAAGGUCUUCGGAUUGUAAACUCCUGUCAUGCGAGAGUAAGGCCCCGCGUUAACUGCGCGUGGGAUUGACAGUACCGCAAGAGGAAGAGACGGCUAACUCUGUGCCAGCAGCCGCGGUAAUACAGAGGUCUCAAGCGUUGUUCGGAAUUACUGGGCGUAAAGGGUGCGUAGGCUGCGCAGAAAGUCAGAUGUGAAAUCCGGGAGCUCAACUUCCGAAUUGCAUCCGAUACUCCUGUGCUA
This 634-nucleotide ribosomal RNA is filed under the name bacterium enrichment culture. RNAcentral describes it as "bacterial SSU rRNA". It matches the Rfam family "Bacterial small subunit ribosomal RNA", at positions 11 to 643 of the family's 1533-position model. The record is from RNAcentral.